RNAcentral lists this small nucleolar RNA (102 nucleotides) under Echinops telfairi (small Madagascar hedgehog). Its description in RNAcentral is "Small nucleolar RNA SNORA61 (ENSETEG00000025791.1)". The record is from RNAcentral. Lineage: Eukaryota; Metazoa; Chordata; Mammalia; Afrosoricida; Tenrecidae.
ACCCUGCAGACUCCUCACCCAUCAGCUCUAAACAUUGGUCUGAGUGGCUAUAAAAUAAGGAAAAACAAAACUGAAAGGGAUUUGGAUUCUUUUAUGACAUAC